This is a long non-coding RNA of Pan troglodytes (chimpanzee), 232 nucleotides long. RefSeq lists it as uncharacterized. NCBI's taxonomy places the organism in Eukaryota, Metazoa, Chordata, Mammalia, Primates, Hominidae. The transcript is spliced from 3 exons. The record is from RefSeq and is a predicted model, not a curated record.
UGAAUAUCUUCGGCUCUGCUGAUACCAACACUCACUUCUGAAGCCAACAAGCCGUCUGCUUAUAAAUACUGAAUCAACUGAGAAGCAGAAACCUGCAAAUUCACUGUCUGCAGAUAAAUGAGGCCAUUUCACCUUCCCUGGUACCUCACAGAUGCUGAUGACUUCAGUGAAGAUAGCAUUGUUGCAUAAUGUCCACAAAUCAUUGAUAAUAAAAAUAUAACCAAGAACAUGA